Molecule: ribosomal RNA, 468 nt
Filed under: uncultured bacterium
Lineage: Bacteria
Description: partial 16S ribosomal RNA
Rfam family: Bacterial small subunit ribosomal RNA
Source: RNAcentral
GACGAACGCUGGCGGCGUGCUUAACACAUGCAAGUCGAACGGAAAGGCCCUGCUUUUGUGGGGUGCUCGAGUGGCGAUCGGGUGAGUAACACGUGAGUAACCUGCCCUUGACUUUGGGAUAACUUCAGGAAACUGGGGCUAAUACCGGAUAGGAGCUCCUGCUGCAUGGUGGGGGUUGGAAAGUUUCGGCGGUUGGGGAUGGACUCGCGGCUUAUCAGCUUGUUGGUGGGGUAGUGGCUUACCAAGGCUUUGACGGGUAGCCGGCCUGAGAGGGUGACCGGCCACAUGGGGACUGCGGUACGGCCCAGACUCCUACGGGAGGCAGCAGUGGGGAAUAUUGCACAAUGGGCGGAAGCCUGAUGCAGCAACGCCACGUGCGGGAUGACGGCCUUCGGGUUGUAAACCGCUUUCGCCUGUGACGAAGCGUGAGUGACGGUAAUGGGUAAAGAAGCACCGGCUAACUACGUG